RNAcentral lists this ribosomal RNA (198 nucleotides) under uncultured bacterium. RNAcentral describes it as "partial 16S ribosomal RNA". It matches the Rfam family "Bacterial small subunit ribosomal RNA", at positions 328 to 539 of the family's 1533-position model. The record is from RNAcentral.
ACGCUCGACACCUACGGGAGCCAGCAGUGGGGAAUAUUGCACAAUGGGGGAAACCCUGAUGCAGCGACGCCGCGUGAGCGAAGAAGUAUUUCGGUAUGUAAAGCUCUAUCAGCAGGGAAGAUAAUGACGGUACCUGACUAAGAAGCUCCGGCUAAAUACGUGCCAGCAGCCGCGGUAAUCUGAGCGGGCUGGCAAGGC